UAUCAAACAUUUCAAACUCGUUCUAACAGAUUAUAAAAAUCUAAAAUCUAAAAUCAACUUGACAUCUGUUUUACCCUUAAGGUAAUAUCCGGUCAGAGAUGUCCGGUCAGAGAUGUUAUCUAACGACUUUUUAUUACUUUAUCUUUUAAAGAAAAAAAUCACCUUAAGUCAUAUAAUCUCUGAUUGGUCAAUUGUAUAUCGUGCGUAACCUUUUUGUUUGAAUUCAUUUUAAUAGAAAAAUUUGGAUAGAUACAAUGUAGCACAGGUAAGUUUACUUUUGAUAUUAGUUUUAAAAAGUUUGAAUAAGCAAAUUAAUAAUUAUUGUUAAAUGUUCGAUUAAUCUUUAUGCAAAAAAAUACAAAAAUAAUAUGUUAAAGUAACAUCUUUAUGCAAAAAAAUACAAAAAUAAUAUGUUAAAGUAACAUAAGGUAAAUAUUAUAGCUUUAUAAGUUUUUCAAUAAAUAUUAAAUUUCCUUUAUUUCAUCAUAAAAAAAUAAAAAAAGUUAAUUUCUAGAGAUCAAGAAAACAUAAAAAACAAACAAAUAAGUUAACAAUAUUCAAAGAACAAAUUAUUUUAAGAAUAUUAAUUAGAAAAACUUUAAGGUAUAAAAUUUUAACAGAAUUAUAUGUAUGAUAAGAGUAGAAAAGAUAUUUAUAUACGAAAAAGUUAAAAAAAAUAUUAUAAACAAUUGAUAAUUGAUAAAAUGUCCAGGUGUUUCAUUUCCUGUAAAACGUGUAUUGUGCAUGCGCAUUGAACACUUCCUGUGACACGUAUAUUUUUUGUAACAGGUACUUGCUGACAUCAGUAUGGCUUGGUCUUCGUGACGUGUCGGGAAUUUCAAAUCGUUGAUAUAUGAACAACAAGACAACUGUCAUAAAAUGCAUAGGAUAAGAAUUCCAAUGAAAGAUGUUCUCUAGUGUACUUCGUUGUGUCCCGCU
This is a long non-coding RNA of Ruditapes philippinarum (Manila clam), 939 nucleotides long. RefSeq lists it as uncharacterized. The transcript is spliced from 3 exons. Lineage: Eukaryota; Metazoa; Mollusca; Bivalvia; Venerida; Veneridae. The record is from RefSeq and is a predicted model, not a curated record.